GCUGGCGGUGCGCCUUAUGCAUGCAAGUCGAGCGAAGCUUUUCAGUAGUUUACUACAGAAAAUGACUGAGCGGCGAACGGGUGAGUAACGCGUGAGCAAUCUACCUUAGUUACAGGGAUAGCCCGAGGAAACUCGGAUUAAUACCUGAUAUUCUUUACAUUUCGCAUGAAAUCAAAAGGAAAGGUCAGCCGAACUAAGAUGAGCUCGCGUUCUAUCAGCUAGUUGGUGAGGUAAAAGCUCACCAAGGCAACGACGGAUAGCUGGUCUGAGAGGACGAUCAGCCACACUGGGACUGAGACACGGCCCAGACUCCUACGGGAGGCUGCAGCAGGGAAUAUUGCGCAAUGAGCGAAAGCUUGACGCAGCGACACCGCGUGUGGGAUGACGGAUCUAGGUUUGUAAACCACUUUCAGGAGGGAAGAAAA
This 425-nucleotide ribosomal RNA is filed under the name uncultured bacterium. RNAcentral describes it as "bacterial SSU rRNA". It matches the Rfam family "Bacterial small subunit ribosomal RNA", at positions 35 to 451 of the family's 1533-position model. The record is from RNAcentral.